AUACGGAGGGGGCUAGCGUUGUUCGGAAUUACUGGGCGUAAAGCGCGCGUAGGCGGGUUGGCAAGUUGAAGGUGAAAUCCCAGGGCUCAACCCUGGAACUGCCUCCAAAACUGCCAGUCUUGAGUUCGGAAGAGGUGAGUGGAAUUCCUAGUGUAGAGGUGAAAUUCGUAGAUAUUAGGAAGAACACCAGUGGCGAAGGCGACUCACUGGUCCGAUACUGACGCUGAGGUGCGAAAGCGUGGGGAGCAAACAGGAUUAGAUACCCCAGUAGUCC
This 274-nucleotide ribosomal RNA is filed under the name uncultured bacterium. RNAcentral describes it as "partial 16S ribosomal RNA". It matches the Rfam family "Bacterial small subunit ribosomal RNA", at positions 523 to 796 of the family's 1533-position model. The record is from RNAcentral.